Molecule: ribosomal RNA, 450 nt
Filed under: uncultured bacterium
Lineage: Bacteria
Description: bacterial SSU rRNA
Rfam family: Bacterial small subunit ribosomal RNA
Source: RNAcentral
AACGAACGCUGGCGGCAUGCCUAACACAUGCAAGUCGAACGAAGCCUUCGGGCUUAGUGGCGCACGGGUGCGUAACGCGUGGGAAUCUGCCCUUGGGUUCGGAAUAACAGUUAGAAAUGACUGCUAAUACCGAAUGAUGUCUUCGGACCAAAGAUUUAUCGCCCAAGGAUGAGCCCGCGUCGGAUUAGCUAGUUGGUGAGGUAAAGGCUCACCAAGGCGACGAUCCGUAGCUGGUCUGAGAGGAUGAUCAGCCACACUGGGACUGAGACACGGCCCAGACUCCUACGGGAGGCAGCAGUGGGGAAUAUUGGACAAUGGGCGAAAGCCUGAUCCAGCAAUGCCGCGUGAGUGAUGAAGGCCUUAGGGUUGUAAAGCUCUUUUACCCGGGAUGAUAAUGACAGUACCGGGAGAAUAAGCUCCGGCUAACUCCGUGCCAGCAGCCGCGGUAAU